GACGAACGCUGGCGGCGUGCCUAAUACAUGCAAGUAGGACGCAGUUGCGAACGGGUGAGUAACGCGUAGGUAACUACCUCUUAGCGGGGGAUAACUAUUGGCAACGAUAGCUACUACCGCAUACUAGUAGAUGGACCUGCGUUGUAUUAGCUAGUAGGUCGGGUAAUGGCCUCCCUAGGCAACGAUUCAUAGCCGACCAGAGAGGGUGGACGGCCACACGGGGACUGAGACACGGCCCCGACUCCUACGGUAGGCAGCAGUAGGGAAUCUUCGGCAAUGGGGGGAAACCUGACCGAGCAACGCCGCGUGAGUGAAGAAGGUUUUCGGAUCGUAAAGCUCUGUUGUUAAGGAAGCGGUACUUAACCAGAAAGGGACGGAUAACUACGUGCCAGCAGCCGCGGUAAUUC
This 407-nucleotide ribosomal RNA is filed under the name uncultured bacterium. RNAcentral's name for it is "partial 16S ribosomal RNA". It matches the Rfam family "Bacterial small subunit ribosomal RNA", at positions 28 to 526 of the family's 1533-position model. The record is from RNAcentral.